RNAcentral lists this ribosomal RNA (253 nucleotides) under uncultured bacterium. RNAcentral describes it as "partial 16S ribosomal RNA". It matches the Rfam family "Bacterial small subunit ribosomal RNA", at positions 524 to 776 of the family's 1533-position model. The record is from RNAcentral.
UACGUAGGGGGCAAGCGUUGUCCGGAUUUAUUGGGCGUAAAGAGCGUGUAGGCGGCUAGAUAGGUCCGUUGUGAAAACUCGAGGCUCAACCUCGAGACGUCGAUGGAAACCAUCUGGCUAGAGUCCGGAAGAGGAGAGUGGAAUUCCUGGUGUAGCGGUGAAAUGCGCAGAUAUCAGGAGGAACACCAAUUGCGAAGGCAGCUCGCUGGGACGUAACUGACGCUGAGACGCGAAAGCGUGGGGAGCAAACAGG